RNAcentral lists this ribosomal RNA (486 nucleotides) under uncultured bacterium. RNAcentral's name for it is "bacterial SSU rRNA". It matches the Rfam family "Bacterial small subunit ribosomal RNA", at positions 30 to 507 of the family's 1533-position model. The record is from RNAcentral.
UGAACGCUAGCGGCAGGCCUAACACAUGCAAGUCAGGGGCAGCACGAAAUAGCUUGCAUUUUUGGUGGCGACCGGCGCACGGGUGCGUAACGCGUAUGCAACCUACCCAUAACAGGGAGAUAACACUGAGAAAUUCGGUACUAAUACCCCAUAACAUCAGAUGAGGCAUCUCAUUUGGUUGAAAGUUCCGGCGGUUAUGGAUGGGCAUGCGUUGUAUUAGCUAGAUGGCGGGGUAACGGCCCACCAUGGCGACGAUGUCUAGGGGUUCUGAGAGGAAGGUCCCCCACACUGGAACUGAGACACGGUCCAGACUCCUACGGGAGGCAGCAGUGAGGAAUAUUGGUCAAUGGUCUGACGACUGAACCAGCCAUGCCGCGUGAAGGUCACGGCCCUAUGGGUCUUAAACUUCUUUUUGCAAGGGAACAAUUAAGGUCUACGUGUAGAUCGAUGAGAGUACCUUGCGAAUAAGCAUCGGCCAACUCCGUG